UACGGAGGAUGCGAGCGUUAUCCGGAUUUAUUGGGUUUAAAGGGUGCGUAGGCGGAUCGUUAAGUCAGUGGUCAAAUUGAGGAGCUCAACCCCUUCCCGCCAUUGAAACUGGCGCUCUUGAGUGGAAGAGAAGUAUGCGGAAUGCGUGGUGUAGCGGUGAAAUGCAUAGAUAUCACGCAGAACCCUGAUUGCGAAGGCAGCAUGCCGGCUUCCGACUGACGCUGAGGCACGAAAGCGUGGGGAUCGAACAGG
This 252-nucleotide ribosomal RNA is filed under the name uncultured bacterium. RNAcentral's name for it is "partial 16S ribosomal RNA". It matches the Rfam family "Bacterial small subunit ribosomal RNA", at positions 524 to 776 of the family's 1533-position model. The record is from RNAcentral.